CAAAGAUGGUAGCAACAUGUUGGCAAAAAGCUUUUGUGGCGUACGUUGUACACAAAUAAGAAGUUAUGGACUUACCGAUUCUGCGUGGUGAUAUGAGGAAAAAAAUUUCAUGAAACCUUUCCAGCGCCAAAAUAGAAGAAGAGUGCAAGAACAUACUCCCAAGAUAUUCUUUGUCCACCUGGGGUACAAAAGAUCUUGAUGGUGGAAAAGGCAUUUCUUGCAAGCUUCAGCAUGUGGCAGGUAUCAAGAAUUACAAAGAUCUUUUCAUUGGGGUUUGAUGGAUGUGGAAAUUAUGUGCAAAGGUUUUUUAUAUCACAUCCAAGUUUCUCAGCCAUGCUAACAUUCUUAAGAGCACCAUCAAAGAUGACUGCAUGAACUUUAGCUCCUCUCUCAGCAAGGAGGUUAAUUGCUUCACUUAUGAGCUGUUUCAAUAUUUUUGCAUUUAGGUUAUUUGUUAAAAAGUUACCAAUAGGGACAUACCAUGGUAUUUCUUCAGGUCAGUAGUUUUUCGCAACCCCACCCCCCCCCCACCCCUGCUUAUUAUAAUCCUGUAUAAAAAACAGAAUAGGAAUGGAAAUAUAACCUAUCUAUGCAUUUCCACAUAAACUCAUUAAAUAAAGAGAUAUAUUGAUCUAUGCAUAUUUAAGUAUGUAUUUACUGAAAUACAUGCCCCCCCCCCCCUUCCACCAAAGUUUGUUAGGAAAUUUUGCUACAAUGUAAGAAAUGAUAGGAAAAUUUAUCUUCGGCAUCCGAGUAAAUUCACCUAUUGCACCCUCUUUGAAGAAUUAAUGCCACGAACCAUAAGAUGACUUUUAAUUUGGUUCACUGCCCUCCCGAUUUUAUGUACCUACUGUCUGUUUGUGAACAUAGUAGAAAUAUCAUUAAUGAAAAUCAUUUCGAAUACUUAAUAAAAGUAUCAUAGAAUU
Rhopilema esculentum is the source of this 926-nucleotide non-coding RNA. The record is from RefSeq and is a predicted model, not a curated record. NCBI's taxonomy places the organism in Eukaryota, Metazoa, Cnidaria, Scyphozoa, Rhizostomeae, Rhizostomatidae.